RNAcentral lists this ribosomal RNA (1002 nucleotides) under Triticum aestivum (bread wheat). RNAcentral describes it as "partial small subunit ribosomal RNA". The record is from RNAcentral. Lineage: Eukaryota; Viridiplantae; Streptophyta; Magnoliopsida; Poales; Poaceae.
AUGGGAUCAGGAUCAGGAUCAGGCGAGCAUUCCAGAGCUUACCAUGCAAGUGCAAUUGGAUCAUCUCAUAACACCAGUGUGAAAGGUUUCAGGGGUGUGGACUGCGAAGUUGGUUUCGUGGAAAAGCUACUGAACUGGGCACCAGCUCUGGAAGAAGUGAAGAUAGAAUGGAUGGGCAAAACAGAGUGCAGCAUGGUUCUUGCUAAGCUAUUAGCUCUGCCGAGGGUGUCUCCCAGGGCGAAGUGGUUUAAGCACCAUAUCAUUAUCCUUGUCCUUGUCCUUCUCCACAUUCUCCUGACAAGCCGCCUCGCCAUAUUUGUCGGCGUUGUUCCACACAAUGGAAUCAUCAGUUGCCUCAUCAUCUUCGUCAUCGCUCCACACAUUGCAAUCAUCAUUAGAUGCCUCCUCAUCCUCGUCAUCACUCCACACAUUGGAAUCGUCAUCACCCAUUCAAUGUUGAAUGAUGCGCUUGAUAUUGGUGACUACAGACAAACAAAAAUGAUGGGGCAGUUCACCUUGUUGGUCAUGAAGAUGGCAAGGCCAUCUGGAGUCGACCGCACGAUCACCUUACGAAUCUCAAACCACUCUCGGGCAUUUCCGAUGAUUGCGUCAAGCUCAGGGAGUGGCACGGUCGUUCUGAAGAUUACCGCACCUCUUGGCUUGGAGUCGACCCUCUAUCCACCACCGCCCGUCCAAUAUAUGCAUGAGAAUCCUACAACAGGGUGGCUUCUCCAAGAGGAACCCGGCGGUCCACCUAGCGGUUGCCCUCUCAAACCCACCAAAAAGACAAGGACAAAGGAGGAGGGCCCAGGGCGACCUGUUGGUGGUCCGGGGACCGUCAUGGACUCCAAGCCAAGAGGGCGGCUGGAGUUGAUCGCAUCUGCCUCAUCCAGGUGUCUUUUUCUACGGACCAGUUGGCUCACCCGCGAGUCGCAAACUAUAGGGCAGCUACCAAAGAAAAUCGGGUCUCUUGGAGCUAGCGACGCCAGCCACAGCCACUAG